RNAcentral lists this ribosomal RNA (253 nucleotides) under uncultured bacterium. RNAcentral describes it as "partial 16S ribosomal RNA". It matches the Rfam family "Bacterial small subunit ribosomal RNA", at positions 524 to 776 of the family's 1533-position model. The record is from RNAcentral.
UACAGAGGGUGCAAGCGUUGUUCGGAAUUAUUGGGCGUAAAGCGCGUGUAGGCGGCUUUGCAAGUCGGGUGUGAAAGCCCUCGGCUCAACCGAGGAAGUGCGCCCGAAACUGCAGAGCUUGAGUACCGGAGAGGAUGGUGGAAUUCCCCAAGUAGAGGUGAAAUUCGUAGAUAUGGGGAGGAACACCGGUGGCGAAGGCGACCAUCUGGACGGAUACUGACGCUGAGACGCGAAAGCGUGGGUAGCAAACAGG